This 179-nucleotide non-coding RNA is filed under the name Nitrospirota bacterium. RNAcentral's name for it is "Nitrospirae bacterium (sediment metagenome) 6S RNA". It matches the Rfam family "6S / SsrS RNA". Rfam says of the family: E. coli 6S RNA was the first non coding RNA to be sequenced, but its function was unknown until recently. It consists of 184 nucleotides that fold into an extended hairpin structure with a large single-stranded internal bulge. The record is from RNAcentral. Lineage: Bacteria; Pseudomonadati; Nitrospirota.
AGCUCUCAGGAAUCUGGUGGUGCGGGGCUGAGGAACAAUAUGAGAAAGGGAGCCAGCGCUGGGACGUGGUGAGCAGGCCCAGCCGACCAUCUCGGCAGGGAAGCCUAAAGCGUUCCACAAGGCACCCACUUAGUUGAUUGUCUCAGCGGGAACAGCGCCACCAGACAUUUUGAGAGCUU